AGCGAACGCUGGCGGCAGGCUUAACACAUGCAAGUCGAGCGGGCCCUUCGGGGUCAGCGGCAGACGGGUGAGUAACACGUGGGAACGUACCAUUUGGUUCGGAAUAACGCUGGGAAACUAGCGCUAAUACCGGAUACGCCCUUUAGGCGACAUGCUUGCUGCCGAAGGAUCGGCCGGCGCCUGAUUAGCUAGUUGGUGGGGUAAAGGCCUACCAAGGCGACGAUCAGUAGCGGGUCUGAGAGGAUGAUCAGCCAAACUGGGACUGAGACAGGACCCAGACUCCUACGGGAGGCAGCAGUGGCGAAUACUGGACAAGGGGCGCAAGCCUAGUCCAGCCAUGCCGCGUGAGUGAUGAAGGCCUUAAGAUUGUAAAGCUCUGUUGUCCGGGACGAUAAUGACGGUACCGGAAGAAUAAGCCCCGGCUAACUUCGUG
RNAcentral lists this ribosomal RNA (433 nucleotides) under uncultured bacterium. RNAcentral's name for it is "partial 16S ribosomal RNA". It matches the Rfam family "Bacterial small subunit ribosomal RNA", at positions 29 to 507 of the family's 1533-position model. The record is from RNAcentral.